Molecule: ribosomal RNA, 570 nt
Filed under: uncultured eukaryote
Lineage: Eukaryota
Description: partial 18S ribosomal RNA
Rfam family: Eukaryotic small subunit ribosomal RNA
Source: RNAcentral
CCUGCCAGUUGUCAUAUGCUUGUCUUAAAGAUUAAGCCUUGCACGUCUAAGGAUAAAUAUUUUUUAACCGUAAACCUGCGGAUGGCUCAUUAAAUCAGUUACAAUCUACUCUAUUGUAUAAAUUACUUGGAUAACCGUAGUAAUUCUAGAGCUAAUAUUGCAAAAAAUUUGAACUCCUGAGGGAACAAAUGUAUUUAUUAGGGAGGAAAAUCAAUACAGACCAUUCCAAACUCUAGAUUAUACUUUAAUCGGUAUUUUUUAGGGGGUUUGUAAAAAAAAAUUGAAGAAUCAUAGUAAACUUACGAAUCAUAAAUUUAAUUAUUUAUUGACGAUAGGAACGAGUUUCUGACCUAUUAACUUUCGAUGGUAAUUUAGUGGAUUACCAUGGUUUUCAUGGGUAACGGAGAAUUUGGGUUUGAUUCCGGAGAAAAGGCCUGAGAGACGGCCAUUACUUCCAAGGAAGGCAGCAGGCGCGUAAAUUACCCAAUCCCAAUUCGGGGAGGUAGUGACGAGAAAUACUAGUAUUGGUCCCAACGGGAACAAUGAUUGGAAUGAGAACAAUUUAAAAAC